RNAcentral lists this ribosomal RNA (221 nucleotides) under uncultured bacterium. Its description in RNAcentral is "partial 16S ribosomal RNA". It matches the Rfam family "Bacterial small subunit ribosomal RNA", at positions 524 to 743 of the family's 1533-position model. The record is from RNAcentral.
UACAGGGGGGUGCAAACGUUGCUCGGAAUCAUUGGGCGUAAAGCGCACGUAGGCGGUUCGUUAUGUCGGAUGUGAAAGCCCUUGGCUUAACCGAGGAAGUGCAUCCGAAACUGGCGAGCUAGAGUACGGGAGAGGAUAGUGGAAUUCCCAGUGUAGAGGUGAAAUUCGUAGAUAUGGGGAGGAACACCGGUGGCGAAGGCGGCCACCUGGACGGUCACUGA